GUCAUAUAGUUUUUAUUCUUCACUAAUAUCAAUUUACCAAAAUGAUUUUUUUUAAGUGUGAUUUAAUAACUAUUACAAUUACAAUUCUCUCAGUUUUGAUUAUUCCAGCGUAUUCUGUUUUUGAAAAAAAAUGUGAACAUAUUUUAAUAUUUGGCCCCCACUUUCAGAGUAA
Melanaphis sacchari is the source of this 172-nucleotide long non-coding RNA. RefSeq lists it as uncharacterized. The transcript has 3 exons. The record is from RefSeq and is a predicted model, not a curated record. NCBI's taxonomy places the organism in Eukaryota, Metazoa, Arthropoda, Insecta, Hemiptera, Aphididae.